UCCCAUGUAGCUCAGUUAGUAGAGCAUGGCGCUUGCAACGCCAGGAUUGAGGGUUCGAUUCCCAUGAGGGAU
RNAcentral lists this transfer RNA (72 nucleotides) under Salmo salar (Atlantic salmon). It matches the Rfam family "tRNA". From Rfam's summary of the family: Transfer RNA (tRNA) molecules are approximately 80 nucleotides in length. Their secondary structure includes four short double-helical elements and three loops (D, anti-codon, and T loops). Lineage: Eukaryota; Metazoa; Chordata; Actinopteri; Salmoniformes; Salmonidae. The record is from Rfam by way of RNAcentral.